UUCCGGUUGAUCCUGCCGGACCCGACUGCUAUCAGAGUGGGACUAAGCCAUGCGAGUCGACGUAGCAAUGCGUGGCGAACGGCUCAGUAACACGUAGUCAACAUGCCCAGGGGACGUGGAUAACCUCGGGAAACUGAGAAUAACCCACGAUAGGUCACGAUUUCUGGAAUGGAUCAUGGCCUAAAUCUACAUGGCCCCUGGAUUGGACUGCGGCCGAUCAGGCUGUUGGUGAGGUAGUGGCCCACCAAACCUAUAACCGGUACGGGCUCUGAGAGGAGAAGCCCGGAGAUGGGCACUGAGACAAGGGCCCAGGCCCUAUGGGGCGCAGCAGGCGCGAAACCUCUGCAAUAGGCGAAAGCCUGACAGGGUUACUCUGAGUGAUUUCCGUUAAGGAGAUCUUUUGGCACCUCUAAAAAUGGUGCAGAAUAAGGGGUGGGCAAGUCUGGUGUCAGCCGCCGCGGUAAUACCAGCACCCCGAGUGGUCGGGACGUUUAUUGGGCCUAAAGCAUCCGUAGCCGGUUCUACAAGUCUUCCGUUAAAUCCACCUGCUUAACAGAUGGGCUGCGGAAGAUACUAUAGAGCUAGGAGGCGGGAGAGGCAAGCGGUACUCGAUGGGUAGGGGUAAAAUCCGUUGAUCCAUUGAAGACCACCAGUGGCGAAGGCGGCUUGCCAGAACGCGCUCGACGGUGAGGGAUGAAAGCUGGGGGAGCAAACCGGAUUAGAUACCCGGGUAGUCCCAG
Molecule: ribosomal RNA, 740 nt
Filed under: uncultured archaeon
Lineage: Archaea
Description: bacterial SSU rRNA
Rfam family: Archaeal small subunit ribosomal RNA
Source: RNAcentral